CAAUAUGAGAGAGUAAAUUGUAGAUAUAAAAAAAAUUAAUAUUAUUUGAAAACAAAUCAAUAAGUUUGUCACUUUCAAUAUGUCUUCAGUAACAUAGUUUCUAAGACAUUUUGAAUGCACCUUUGCAAUAAUGAGUAUUAGGUAUUUAUAUUUGUAUGAAUGUCAUGCUGUCUUUACAGGUCUGUAACACGUCUUUGAAAUCUUAAAAAAAAAGAUUUUAAACAAAAAAAAAGAUCAACACAAGUAUUUAAACAUUUUCCAAAAUAUUUUAUUAUUAUAACUUUUUAUUUUCUGUAAUUUUACUAAGUCAAUGUUCAACUUUACCUGAUAGUUAAUCUUUUUUGGUGCAAUGGGAAUGAAAUUACAAUGCAUAAAUAUUAGUACUUAUAUGGGAAAUGACUUUUAUUUCUCAAUAGUUUCAAAAUACCUACAGUUUAGUGUUGUCACAGAUAACUGCAACCUUAAAUGAAAAUAUGUUUUUGAUGGAUAUUCACCACUGCAGAGAGAAUAGCUUCAUUCCUCAUAUGUCUACCUAUGAGAUUUACUUGCCACUUAGCCUUGAGCUAACUCCCACCUAAAAAAUUGCAUGUUUAAUGUAAAUUGUACAUCAUCAUGCAUCAAUAGCCCUCCACCAAUAGGAAGGUGACACAACCUCCUUGCUCAGUAACUCCCCUUAAAGCAUUGUACUUAAAUUAACUU
Long non-coding RNA from Limulus polyphemus (Atlantic horseshoe crab), 699 nucleotides. RefSeq lists it as uncharacterized. The record is from RefSeq and is a predicted model, not a curated record. Lineage: Eukaryota; Metazoa; Arthropoda; Merostomata; Xiphosura; Limulidae. The transcript is spliced from 4 exons.